AAGGUAGACGGCUGGCACCUUAUAAGUUCAGUCAAUACAAAGUAAACAAGGAGCCUAGUAUG
RNAcentral lists this small RNA (62 nucleotides) under unclassified sequences. RNAcentral's name for it is "DUF2815 RNA". It matches the Rfam family "DUF2815 RNA". The record is from Rfam by way of RNAcentral.